Molecule: long non-coding RNA, 1481 nt
Filed under: Apteryx owenii (little spotted kiwi)
Lineage: Eukaryota; Metazoa; Chordata; Aves; Apterygiformes; Apterygidae
Description: lncRNA (ENSAOWG00000010467.1)
Source: RNAcentral
CUCUAGUGCCCAAUGACGAGAACACUAAUUCAAAGUUUCUCCAGAGAUUUCUUUUCAUGAACGUGAGAUACAGCAAAGUCCCUUUCUUCAGUGCUAAAAAUUUUGUUAUCGGCUUUCAUUUUGUAGUAUUUUAUAUGCGAAGUGAUGAUACUGAAAAUUAAUGUAGUUAGUUAAUUAAGCUCCAUUAAUAGCUGAGAAAUAUUUCACAAUUUUUCCACUACAAAUUAUGUGUUAUAUUUGUUUGGUUUCUUUACUUUAUUUUGCUGUUAUGGGUUUUUGAUCAAAAUAGCCUUGCACGGGAAGCAAAAGAUGUUUGCUGAUUACAUUUGUUACUUCCCCGCUCUGUGAAAAGGAACCAGACCUACGUUGGAAAUGUCGUGCUUCAAGCAGUUCGGACUGCAGCUACACAUGAGACUUACGUAGGAUAUUUUUGUAAAAAUACACAGGUUGCUGCAAAUGAAACAUCAACAGAACAAACAUCUUUGCCAUCAAAGGAGACGUCUAGUGUCUCGUCUAGUGUCUCACCUAGUGUCUCAUCUUCCUCCAGUGUCACACAGACUCCUGAACCAGAAACACACGGGAAUGACCAUAUUUCAGGAAAAGAACUCUCCACUUCAUUAGUGGCAGCCCUCAGCAUUUUCUUUGUGCUCUUUUUAUUUUUGUUGUUAUUAGUAUUUGGUGUGCACGAAAAAAGUCAAAGGAGCGAAGAAGAAAUGAAGACAGACAGACAGUGUGAUCACUGCCACGCCAUUUCACCUCAUCUGAAAUAAGACUGUGAAAGCAUCUUGCGGUGAAUUGUCAAAAAUCAACAGGACAGAUUCUGUUCUUUAGCAGUCCUUGCCGAGAAGCAAAGAAUUAAAACAGACACACGCACAGAAUCUUUUUGUCCCAUGAACAUUUCUGCUACUGGAAUCUGAGCGAGGCUGGGUGGCUGGAAGCAACCACAUUGGAGGCAAACUCGAUGCUUUUUGUUGAUAGUGCUUGUUUCUUUGAUAGAAAGACAUGGGUCCUUUGACAGAGAAUUUCAAACCAGUUGUUUGCAAAAGCACUAAGUUCUGUUCUCAGACAUCACUGUAUAAUCAUGUUUUAGUCCUAUUCAAAUACUUGGCCACAUGUGCUCAAGUACAGUAAGAGAGAAGCCCAGAGAGACAUCUGUGUUGUCCAGUUUGGGGACUCCAGUCUGUGUGCAAGAGCAGGGAGUGGUGUAGUCUAACUCAACACCAUUGAUACAAUUUGUGUGAGUUCCCCUUGUAGAGAUAUGUUCUCUUGUGCUCCUCCCUUGCCUCAGUUAACCCCUAAACAUUCUCUUUUUCACCUUGUUUUGCAUAGCCACAAUGUAGCUUUAAUAAGUGAAAUGCCUGGGCUAAGUUUAGUGGAACUACUUUGCAUUCAUAUGGAGUAUACCUGACAGCCAUUCUGCACCUCUAUUUUGAAAAAAAAAGUAAAAUAAAUUUCUGGAGGUCCCUUUACUUAAAAUUUUC